Molecule: ribosomal RNA, 216 nt
Filed under: uncultured bacterium
Lineage: Bacteria
Description: partial 16S ribosomal RNA
Rfam family: Bacterial small subunit ribosomal RNA
Source: RNAcentral
CGGACGGGUGAGUAACGCGUGAGAAUCUGCCUUCUGGUCGGGGACAACCAUUGGAAACGAUGGCUAAUACCGGAUGAGCCUACGGGUAAAAGAUUUAUUGCCAGAAGAGGAGCUCGCGUCUGAUUAGCUAGUUGGUGGGGUAAAAGCUCACCAAGGCAUCGAUCAGUAGCUGGUCUGAGAGGAUGACCAGCCACACUGGGACUGAGACACGGCCAG